GGCCGACUAGCUCAGUUGGUUAGAGCGUCGUGCUAAUACGGUCUCCUGCCGUCUGAUACGCGAAGGUCUUGGGUUCGAUCCCCACGUUGGCCA
This is a non-coding RNA of Rhizopogon salebrosus TDB-379, 93 nucleotides long. NCBI's taxonomy places the organism in Eukaryota, Fungi, Basidiomycota, Agaricomycetes, Boletales, Rhizopogonaceae. The record is from the annotation of a GenBank genome assembly.